UCUUCUGGGACAACUCGAACUGAGAUCAGGCUGAAACACUUUACUGAACUCUCCACAUCCUAUUCACCCUCGGGAGUGCCCGCGUUCACUUUAUGGUGAUGAAAAUUGCAAUAAAAUGAAUAAGGCACCCAGCCUUCGCCCCGUACAGGGGAGGAAAACCGAGGUUCCGGGCCAGAAUGGCCCGGCUAGGCCCGCCUUCUGUAACAGUCCACCCCUCAAACCGACCCCGCCGUGUAGACAAUUUUCUAUUGCGUCCACAGGAUUCUACUCGAGUUGCUCUUGUCUUUAGAGCACACCUUGUUUUCCCAUUUUCGAGCAAACUAAGACUAAAGGUCAUGCUUAUGCUUGGCACUUUCGCACCGGGUAGCUAGGAAAUCUAGAACCCUCAAACUUCGAUCUCCACAGUCUUUUCAAUGGUGUCCCUAUUGACCGAACACCGUCGGUUCGCAAGUAUCGCUGCAACGAAAAACUAGGAAGCUACAGCCGAGAAGGAUAGUAACACUUCGUCUUAAGUGGUUCACAACCUAACAAGUGGGUGGUUAUCCCUUGCACUCGACCCAAAUCUGGCAGCACUCUGUCCAAUCAAAAUGGGAUGACUACUGUCACAGCGCUAUCAUUAAGUUGGAUCAUGCUCUCCUUGGCAACUAAGUGUGUUAACCAGUAGCGCGAACAACUUUUCGGUCACCGCGCUUCGAUGGCACACGGCCUAAUACUGACUUGCGGAGAUUCAGUCUUAGGUUCGAUCGUACGCUGCGGACGCGGGCGGCGGGCGGGGCUGGGUGCAAUCCCCGCGAACGCGGGGGUUCCCGGGCACGGUAACCGAUUCGGCCAGGCCGGCUGCACGGCGCCGGCCGGCGGAGCUUCGAGGGAAGGGUUGCCCGCCACCCGACUUAGGAAACGUCUGCUGAAUUUAUGCGCUGCCCCGUAACAUUCACCGUCUCACCGGAACGACGGUGCUAGGUGACUCUAGGUCGGGGUACAGCGUGCCUAAGCAGGGAGGGGG
RNAcentral lists this ribosomal RNA (1003 nucleotides) under Triticum aestivum (bread wheat). Its description in RNAcentral is "partial small subunit ribosomal RNA". The record is from RNAcentral. Lineage: Eukaryota; Viridiplantae; Streptophyta; Magnoliopsida; Poales; Poaceae.